GAUGAACGCUAGCGGCAGGCCUAACACAUGCAAGUCGAGGGAGAGGUUAUCUUCGGGUAACCAAAACCGGCGCACGGGUGCGUAACGCGUAUACAAUCUGCCUUUCACAUAGGGAUAGCCCGAAGAAAUUUGGAUUAAUACCUAAUGGUAUAUAAGAGCGGCAUCGUUUUUAUAUUAAAGCUACGGUGGUGAAAGAUGAGUAUGCGUUCUAUUAGCUAGUUGGAGAGGUAACGGCUCCCCAAGGCGACUAUAGAUAGGGGUUCUGAGAGGGAUGUCCCCCACACUGGUACUGAGAUUUUGACCAGACUCCUACGGGAGGCAGCAGUGGGGAAUUUUGGACAGUGGACGGAACACUGAUCCAGCCUUCCCCGCGUGCGGUAUGAAGGCCAUAGGAGAUUGAAAACUGUUUUUGUAGGGGAAAAAUAGAGAGCACGUGUUCUUUGAUGACGGUCCCCUUUCCAAAUAAACAUCGGAUAUCUC
Molecule: ribosomal RNA, 480 nt
Filed under: uncultured Capnocytophaga sp.
Lineage: Bacteria; Pseudomonadati; Bacteroidota; Flavobacteriia; Flavobacteriales; Flavobacteriaceae
Description: bacterial SSU rRNA
Rfam family: Bacterial small subunit ribosomal RNA
Source: RNAcentral